UCGAGCGAGCUUGCCUAGAUGAUUUUAGUGCUUGCACUAAAUGAAACUAGAUACAAGCGAGCGGCGGACGGGUGAGUAACACGUGGGUAACCUGCCCAAGAGACUGGGAUAACACCUGGAAACAGAUGCUAAUACCGGAUAACAACACUAGACGCAUGUCUAGAGUUUGAAAGAUGGUUCUGCUAUCACUCUUGGAUGGACCUGCGGUGCAUUAGCUAGUUGGUAAGGUAACGGCUUACCAAGGCAAUGAUGCAUAGCCGAGUUGAGAGACUGAUCGGCCACAUUGGGACUGAGACACGGCCCAAACUCCUACGGGAGGCAGCAGUAGGGAAUCUUCCACAAUGGACGAAAGUCUGAUGGAGCAACGCCGCGUGAGUGAAGAAGGGUUUCGGCUCGUAAAGCUCUGUUGGUAGUGAAGAAAGAUAGAGGUAGUAACUGGCCUUUAUUUGACGGUAAUUACUUAGAAAGUCACGGCUAACUACGUGCCAGCAGCCGCGGUAAUACGUAGGUGGCAAGCGUUGUCCGGAUUUAUUGGGCGUAAAGCGAGUGCAGGCGGUUCAAUAAGUCUGAUGUGAAAGCCUUCGGCUCAACCGGAGAAUUGCAUCAGAAACUGUUGAACUUGAGUGCAGAAGAGGAGAGUGGAACUCCAUGUGUAGCGGUGGAAUGCGUAGAUAUAUGGAAGAACACCAGUGGCGAAG
This 698-nucleotide ribosomal RNA is filed under the name uncultured bacterium. RNAcentral's name for it is "bacterial SSU rRNA". It matches the Rfam family "Bacterial small subunit ribosomal RNA", at positions 49 to 720 of the family's 1533-position model. The record is from RNAcentral.